GCGCGAUUAGCUCAGCGGGAGAGCACUUCCCUGACACGGAAGGGGUCACUGGUUCAAUCCCAGUAUCGCGCACCG
Molecule: transfer RNA, 75 nt
Filed under: Kitasatospora sp. Root107
Lineage: Bacteria; Bacillati; Actinomycetota; Actinomycetes; Kitasatosporales; Streptomycetaceae
Description: tRNA-Val
Rfam family: tRNA
About the family: Transfer RNA (tRNA) molecules are approximately 80 nucleotides in length. Their secondary structure includes four short double-helical elements and three loops (D, anti-codon, and T loops).
Source: RNAcentral